Molecule: long non-coding RNA, 900 nt
Organism: Homo sapiens (human)
Lineage: Eukaryota; Metazoa; Chordata; Mammalia; Primates; Hominidae
Source: Ensembl
GGGCCCAGCUCGGCCGGCAGCUUCUGCAGCCGCCACAAGGGCGUCCCCUCUUCCGGCUCCAUCCCUGCGCGAAGCUGGGGCUUGGGUCACGUGUCAAGGCUGGCCGCUUGUCUAAAGCUACGACUCGCCCACGUGACUCUCGCCGGCGGGGAGGGGCGUGGACCCAAGAAGUCCCUGUGCGCUUGCGCAGAGACCGAACUACCGCUUUCCCCGUAACCAGGGAGACUGCAGUUUGCAGUGAUGUGGCUAAGAUACCCUUGUGCUAUUAAAGGCACAUUUACGUAUCUUUCAACGCAGUUUGUACCUUUGUUUAGGGUUCUAUUGAACUUUCUCUGUGCUCUUUAGAAAACCGUCGAAUAAAGAACUCAAAUGAUGCUGUUUUUGGACAGGGAGGUCAUGGACCAAGUACAAAGCGGCAAAAGGAUGGAAUUAAGGUACCUGACAUUGUUGAACCCAUGCCUGAUGCCACAUUAGCUCAGGACUACCUACAUGGACAUGGAUAUUUCCAGUGAAAGAAAGAAGAAAGCAUGCUUUUCUCUUGACUGUGCAGAAAAAAAAACUAUGUUUCUUUGAUUCUCCAUUUUACUAGAUGCCAUACCUUUGCAAUUACUUCAUGUGGAGUCUUGACCAAGAUUCAGGAAAUACUAGAACUUUCAGUCCCAGAAGGUUACUCUGGGCAUUACUAGUCCCCAUCAUUAUGAGUUGAGUUUUACUAGUUAAUUUCAGACGAAAAAUAUUUGUUUUUCCCCAAAUUCUGGGGUUACGUACUUUUACUACCUAUGAACUGACAACUGUAUCUUCAGUAAUUACAAUUUCCAACAAAAUGUUAUAGGAAUAAAGAAAAGAUGUUAGUUCAUUAUUCAGAGUUUAUGUUUAUUCCUUUAAUAAAAAGAAAUGGUC